Molecule: ribosomal RNA, 287 nt
Filed under: uncultured bacterium
Lineage: Bacteria
Description: partial 16S ribosomal RNA
Rfam family: Bacterial small subunit ribosomal RNA
Source: RNAcentral
GGAUUAGAUACCCUGGUAGUCCACGCCGUAAACGAUGGAUACUAGCUGUGGGGUUUUCGGACUCUGUGGCCAAGCGAAAGUGAUAAGUAUCCCACCUGGGGAGUACGUUCGCAAGAAUGAAACUCAAAGGAAUUGACGGGGGCCCGCACAAGCGGUGGAGCAUGUGGUUUAAUUCGAUGAUACGCGAGGAACCUUACCAGGGCUUAAAUGCAGUAUGACAGAUUCAGAGAUGGAUUUUUCUUCGGACAUAUUGCAAGGUGCUGCAUGGUUGUCGUCAGCUCGUGCCG